UCUGGGUUUAUCCCAGCGGUCUCCCUAGAGAUUUCAACUAAGGACAAGGGUUGCGCUCGUUGCGGGACUUAACCCAACACCUCACGGCACGAGCUGACGACAGCCAUGCAGCAUCUGUGCAUGCUCUCUUGCGAGUCCCUCAGGUUUCCCUUCAGUACCACAUGCAUGUCAAGCCGAGGUAAGGUUCUGCGCGUUGCAUCGAAUUAAACCACAUGCUCCACCGCUUGUGCAGGCCCCCGUCAAUUUCUUUGAGUUUUAAUCUUGCGAUCGUACUCCCCAGGCGGAAUGCUUAAUGCGUUAGCUGCGCCACCGAAGAGCAAGCUCCCCAACGGCUGGCAUUCAUCGUUUACGGCGUGGACUAC
This 362-nucleotide unclassified non-coding RNA is filed under the name uncultured bacterium. Its description in RNAcentral is "contains 16S-23S intergenic spacer region". The record is from RNAcentral.